UUUGAACUCACUUCUUGUAUUGCCUUGGGAGACAUCUGGCCAUUGGUACUCAUUUCUGUUCUGGGUCGAAGGGACCUCACCUUCUUUUCCACCAGCCAUGAGACAGGAAGGCCUCAACUGGUAUCCCUGAAAGGGGGAGAGUUGGACUCUUGCCACAAGUCAGGUGAAGGCAUUCUCAUCUCCUCAGAGGCUUCAGAGCUUCUCCAUUUCAUAGACAACCAGGGCCCAGUGCACGUGAUCCAGAAAUAUCUUGAGCACCCUCUGCUGCUUGAGCCAGGUCAUCGCAAGUUUGACAUUCGAUAAAGAAAUGGGGGCUCAGAGCAGUCAAGAACAUGCCCCAAGUUAUUCGUCAGUGAGGCAGAAAUUGUGGUGUCCU
Molecule: long non-coding RNA, 376 nt
Filed under: Homo sapiens (human)
Lineage: Eukaryota; Metazoa; Chordata; Mammalia; Primates; Hominidae
Description: HSALNT0304911
Source: RNAcentral